GGGUGAGUAACACGUGGGCAAUCUGCCCUUCACUCUGGGACAAGCCCUGGAAACGGGGUCUAAUACCGGAUAAUACUCUGUUCCGCAUGGGACGGGGUUGAAAGCUCCGGCGGUGAAGGAUGAGCCCGCGGCCUAUCAGCUUGUUGGUGGGGUGAUGGCCUACCAAGGCGACGACGGGUAGCCGGCCUGAGAGGGCGACCGGCCACACUGGGACUGAGACACGGCCCAGACUCCUACGGGAGGCAGCAGUGGGGAAUAUUGCACAAUGGGCGAAAGCCUGAUGCAGCGACGCCGCGUGAGGGAUGACGGCCUUCGGGUUGUAAACCUCUUUCAGCAGGGAAGAAGCGAAAGUGACGGUACCUGCAGAAGAAGCGCCG
Molecule: ribosomal RNA, 377 nt
Filed under: Streptomyces sp.
Lineage: Bacteria; Bacillati; Actinomycetota; Actinomycetes; Kitasatosporales; Streptomycetaceae
Description: bacterial SSU rRNA
Rfam family: Bacterial small subunit ribosomal RNA
Source: RNAcentral